UGGGGAAUCUUGCGCAAUGGAGGGAACUCUGACGCAGCGACGUCGCGUGAGCGAAGAAGGUCUUCGGAUCGUAAAGCUCUGUCUUUGGGGACGAAGGAAGUGACGGUACCCAAGGAGGAAGCCCCGGCUAACUACGUGCCAGCAGCCGCGGUAACACGUAGGGGGCAAGCGUUGUCCGGAAUUACUGGGCGUAAAGGGUGCGUAGGCGGUAUAUUAAGUCAGGUGUGAAACCCCACGGCUCAACUGUGGGCUUGCACAUGAAACUGGUAUGCUUGAGUACAGGAGAGGAAAGCGGAAUUCCUAGUGUAGUGGUGAAAUGCGUAGAUAUUAGGAAGAACACCAGUGGCGAAGGCGGCUUUCUGGACUGUAACUGACGCUGAGGCACGAAAGCGUGGGGAGC
Molecule: ribosomal RNA, 400 nt
Filed under: uncultured bacterium
Lineage: Bacteria
Description: bacterial SSU rRNA
Rfam family: Bacterial small subunit ribosomal RNA
Source: RNAcentral